RNAcentral lists this ribosomal RNA (429 nucleotides) under uncultured archaeon. RNAcentral's name for it is "bacterial SSU rRNA". It matches the Rfam family "Archaeal small subunit ribosomal RNA", at positions 474 to 903 of the family's 1478-position model. The record is from RNAcentral.
UACCAGCUCUCCGAGUGGUGUGGAUGUUUAUUGGGCCUAAAGCAUCCGUAGCUGGCUGGGCAAGUCCCCUGUUAAAUCCACCGAUUUAAUCGUUGGUGUGCGGGGGAUACUGUUCGGCUAGGGGACGGGAGAGGCCGACGGUAUUUUCGGGGUAGGGGUGAAAUCCUAUAAUCCCGGGAAGACCACCAGUGGCGAAGGCUGUCUGCUAGAACGCGCCCGACGGUGAGGGAUGAAAGCUGGGGGAGCGAACCGGAUUAGAUACCCGGGUAGUCCCAGCUGUAAACGAUGCAGGCUAGGUGUUUGGGCGGCCACGUGCCGCUCUAGUGCCGCAGGGAAGCCGUUAAGCCUGCCGCCUGGGGAGUACGGCCGCAAGGCUGAAACUUAAAGGAAUUGGCGGGGGAGCACCACAAGGCGUGAAGCUUGCGGUUC